RNAcentral lists this long non-coding RNA (1280 nucleotides) under Ananas comosus (pineapple). RNAcentral's name for it is "long non-coding RNA (ACOM_LNC030782)". Lineage: Eukaryota; Viridiplantae; Streptophyta; Magnoliopsida; Poales; Bromeliaceae. The record is from RNAcentral.
ACAUAUAUUUGCCUUUAUAAAUAAUUUAAUUACACCGACCGUCUCUAGCACAAGUGGUAAAGGACUUGAUGGUUGGUAUCCGAGACCCAAGUUCGAAUCUUAGUUGAUUCACAUUUCUAGCUAAGUUUAUUUCUAAAUGAAAUAAACGAAGCGAAUAGCGUGCUACCUAUCUCUCUCAAAAAAAAAAAAAAAAAAACUAAUAACUCUUUAUUUCUCUUAUACCAUCUUCUUCUUCAUUUUUAGCCAACUCUAUUUAAAUUAUUUUAAUAAAAAUUAUUUUUUAUUUUUAUAUUUUAUAGUCUUAUAAAAUUAUCAAAUUAUUAAUAAGUUCCAAUAAAAAUUUUCUUCAUUACUUAAUUAAAUAUAGUUAAAGAAUUUUGUUAUAUAUAUAUAUAUAUAUAUUUAUUUAUUUAUUUAUUUAUAUAGAACUAGACUGGAAUAAUAUCAGUAGCACCAAGUUAUUGGUGCUAUUAGGUUUUCGCCCCUUGGUUGAAAAAAAUGUACGGGUAGGAUGAUGUUGGGCCUCUAGGGUUGAGUGGGUUAUUGGUUUAAUAAUAUAAUCUAACGGGUGGAAAUAGUUAAAAGGUUAAAUCUAACGGCGGAAAACUUGAUAACACCAAACGCUUAGUAUUAUCGAUAGUAUUCCAGCCGGACUAUAUAUAUAUAUAUAGAGAGAGAGAGAGAGAGAGAGAGAGAGAAAGAGAGAGAGAGAGAGAGAGCUAGGCUCCUAUGCUUUCGAAAGUACGGAGGCCUCCAUGCUUGUAAGUUGUUUUCAAUGAUCGAGCAUCCGAAUCAGUGAUCGGCUCCAUUAGACAUGAUCUACGUUAUUUGAACUAUUUAUAAACUAAAUUUCAUAAUUUUUUGACUUCAUUUGCCUAGUGAAUAAGUAGGCUCAAAAUGAACGGCUAAAAAUAAAAAUCUCACAAAAAAUAGUGAUAAAAGACUCAAAUUUUAAAUCGAAAGUAUUGUUCUUAUUUUUUAUGUUAAGUAAAAUUUUCUAUUAAAGUUUCAUGUAAUUUGGAUUCUUCUACACCGUUGAUCUUUCAAACGUGCCACAUCGGCCGUUAAAAUAGUUAUUUUUGAGACUCUUUGAUCACUUAGUAAAUGAUAUCAAAAAAUUAUGAAAUUUGGUUUCUAAAUAUUCUAAUAGCGUAGAUCAUGCCUAACGGAGCCGAUCGCUGAAUCAGAUACCCCGCCAUCAAAAAUAACUUACAAACACAGAGGUCUCUGUACUUUCGAAAGUAUAGAAGAUGUACUAUAUAUAUAUAUAUNUAUAUAUA